RNAcentral lists this ribosomal RNA (497 nucleotides) under uncultured bacterium. RNAcentral's name for it is "partial 16S ribosomal RNA". It matches the Rfam family "Bacterial small subunit ribosomal RNA", at positions 28 to 507 of the family's 1533-position model. The record is from RNAcentral.
GACGAACGCUGGCGGCGUGCCUAAUACAUGCAAGUUGAGCGAUGAAGAUUGGUGCUUGCACCAAUUUGAAGAGCAGCGAACGGGUGAGUAACGCGUGGGGAAUCUGCCUUUGAGCGGGGGACAACAUUUGGAAACGAAUGCUAAUACCGCAUAACAACUUUAAACAUAAGUUUUAAGUUUGAAAGAUGCAAUUGCAUCACUCAAAGAUGAUCCCGCGUUGUAUUAGCUAGUUGGUGAGGUAAAGGCUCACCAAGGCGAUGAUACAUAGCCGACCUGAGAGGGUGAUCGGCAACAUUGGGACUGAGACACGGCCCAAACUCCUACGGGAGGCAGCAGUAGGGAAUCUUCGGCAAUAGACGAAAGUCUGACCGAGCAACGCCGCGUGAGUGAAGAAGGUUUUCGGAUCGUAAAACUCUGUUGGUAGAGAAGAACGUUGGUGAGAGUGGAAAGCUCAUCAAGUGACGGUAACUACACAGAAAGGGACGGCUAACUACGUG